UCCUUCCAUUUAUAAAUUCCACGGGCAAAAACCGAAUUUUUCAACGACUAAUGUGAUGGCCCGGAGGCUCUAUUCCCGCCUCUGCCUUCUUCCUCGUCUGUUCGCCACCUUCAAUCCUGAUGUUCCUCCUCUGAGAUUGAAGCCUCUGUCUGAUUCAGCCUUAAACAGUUCAAUUCAUCUUCAUGCGUUUUCCUCCAGUUAUCAAGCAUUGAGAUCAUAUGCUCGCAGGCCAUGUAAAGACUAUGAUCUGUUUGGCAAAAGGACAACAGGCAAUGAAGAAUUCAGGAAAGCCUGGAAGAAAGAAAUGGAUGAUGAUACUACCUUGUGGACAGGCAGUGAAGCUGAAACUGAUUCUGAAGAAAGGGGAAAUCGUUUUGAAAAAGAGAUCAGGAAAGUAAGACAGCAAGCAAAGGAGCAUUCACAUCUAAUUGAUGCUGAUGACAGUGAUGAGUUAAGAAGUGUAUGGUCGGAAAGUGAUGAGGAGAAAACUCUGUGGACUGGUAGUGAAGGUGAUGAUGAUGAUGAUAUUCCUACAGAGCCAUACCCAAAUGAAGCUAGUGAUAAGUACAUUGAUAAAUUGUUUGAGUUUGAGGAAAAGCCUAAAUAUAGAACAAUCUCAGAGCUACUGAAAGCUGAAAAUGAACCAGAAGAGUUAUCACCAGGGAAACAAGCAAGGAAACUUGCUGUCGAGAAUGCUUUGAAAAAAUUGAAGAAAGGACCUGAUGGGCGUUAUACCAAUGUGUGGGAAGUCAUGAGUGACAUAGACAUUCUAAUAGGAGCUUUUGAAAAUAUUGUUUCUGGACCAGAGUAUGAGGGGCUUAGACAGGGAGGACCAAAGAAACUAAAUAUUCAGUUUUUUAAGGAUAUACAAGCACGAAUGAGAGAUCCAAACUAUAAGUUUUCUCCCGAGUUGAAGUUAAAGCCGAAGAGCAAACUAGUCCCGAGAAAGAAAUGGCAGAAGACCCAGUCUCGACGCAGGAUUCUAGAGAUUGCAUUGCCUCGCAGUAUUAGCAUGCAGGAUAAGAUUAUUCCGAGCAGUGAGCCCCAAUGUUCUUCUGUGCAACAAGUGAGUUAGGUUGCUCCAGCUUAGAAGUAUGGAUGUUGCACAUAAUUGAGUCCCUGAUCAAAUAUAUCUGGAGUCAGAGAGGUUUUCUUCAUGAUGUUUCCUAGAUACGGCCAUGACAGUUGAUAUGUACGUCAAGAAUAUAUUUCUGUGAAGAAAGUUGGGAAAACAAGCUCAAAUAUGAGUAGAAGAGAAAGAAAAAAGGGGUUUAAGGAAAAAAAAGACCUGGAUAUAUAAGGGCUGAUUUCCAUUUAUUGACAUAUUCUGAGCAGUGCUUGUCUUCUUUUUCCAGGAACUCACUGGUGAAACAAUGUCAGUUUAUAUAGGCCGAACUCACAAACAUUCUGUGAGCAACACAUACAAGCAAAAAGACAGAGACAGAGA
Carica papaya (papaya) is the source of this 1447-nucleotide non-coding RNA. Lineage: Eukaryota; Viridiplantae; Streptophyta; Magnoliopsida; Brassicales; Caricaceae. The record is from RefSeq and is a predicted model, not a curated record.